AAAAAUCCGUUGUAUAAUCCGAAGACGUGAUGUGGAGCGAAAUAAAGUAGUGAAGCGUGUGAGCCAUGUGCCGAGAAAAGCUGCUAUUGUGUAAUGCGUGCCCGUACCGUAAACCGACACAGGUGGAUGAGGAGAGAAUCCUAAGGCCGACGGAAGAAGCAUUGUUAAGGAAUUCGGCAAAAUGACCCCGUAACUUCGGGAGAAGGGGUGCCUGCGAGAGCAGGCCGCAGAGAAUAGGCUCAAGCAACUGUUUAGCAAAAACACAGGUCUAUGCGAAACCGAAAGGUGAAGUAUAUGGGCUGACGCCUGCCCGGUGCUGGAAGGUUAAGAGGAGAGGUUAGCGUAAGCGAAGCCUUGAAUUUAAGCCCCAGUAAACGGCGGCCGUAACGAUAACGGUCCUAAGGUAGCGAAAUUCCUUGUCGGGUAAGUUCCGACCCGCACGAAAGGCGUAAUGAUUUGAGCACUGUCUCGACAAUGCAUCCGGUGAAAUUGAAGUACCAGUGAAGAUGCUGGUUACACGCGCCAGGACGGAAAGACCCCAUGGAGCUUUACUCCAGUUUGAUACUGGGAUUCGGUACUGCAUGUACAGGAUAGGUGGGAGACGAAGAAGGAUGGACGCCAGUCUGUCCGGAGUCGCUGUUGGGAUACCACCCCUGUAGUACUGGGUUUCUAACCAGUUGCCAUGAACUGGCAAUGGGACAAUGUCAGGCGGGGAGUUUGACUGGGGCGGUCGCCUCCGAAAGGGUAUCGGAGGCGCUCAAAGGUUCCCUCAGAAUGGUUGGAAACCAUUUGAAGAGUGCAAAGGCAGAAGGGAGCUUGACUGCGACACCGACGGGUGGAGCAGGUACGAAAGUAGGACUUAGUGAUCCGGUGGUAUAAAGUGGGAUUGCCAUCGCUCAACGGAUAAAAGCUACCCUGGGAUAACAGGCUUAUCACUCCCAAGAGUUCACAUCGACGGAGUGGUUUGGCACCUCGAUGUCGGCUCAUCGCAUCCUGGGGCUGUAGCAGGUCCCAAGGGUUGGGCUGUUCGCCCAUUAAAGCGGUACGCGAGCUGGGUUCAGAACGUCGUGAGACAGUUCGGUCCCUAUCCGGCGCGGGCGGAGGAUAUUUGAGAGGAGCUGUCCUUAGUACGAGAGGACCGGGAUGGACGGACCACUGGUGUAUCUGUUGUCGACCAACGGCAUGGCAGAGUAGCCAAGUCUGGAAGGGAUAAACGCUGAAGGCAUCUAAGCGUGAAGCCCCCCUCAAGAUGAGAUAUCCCUCCUUCGGGAGUAAGACCCCUUGAAGACUACAAGGUAGAUAGGGCAGAGGUGGAAGCAUGGCAACAUGUGGAGCUGACUGUUACUAAUAGGUCGAGGGCUUAAUGA
Molecule: ribosomal RNA, 1367 nt
Filed under: metagenome
Description: bacterial LSU rRNA
Rfam family: Bacterial large subunit ribosomal RNA
Source: RNAcentral